Molecule: ribosomal RNA, 600 nt
Filed under: Wolbachia endosymbiont of Bemisia tabaci
Lineage: Bacteria; Pseudomonadati; Pseudomonadota; Alphaproteobacteria; Rickettsiales; Anaplasmataceae
Description: bacterial SSU rRNA
Rfam family: Bacterial small subunit ribosomal RNA
Source: RNAcentral
GCUAUUAGAUGAGCCUAUAUUAGAUUAGCUAGUUGGUGGAGUAAUAGCCUACCAAGGCAAUGAUCUAUAGCUGAUCUGAGAGGAUGAUCAGCCACACUGGAACUGAGAUACGGUCCAGACUCCUACGGGAGGCAGCAGUGGGGAAUAUUGGACAAUGGGCGAAAGCCUGAUCCAGCCAUGCCGCAUGAGUGAAGAAGGCCUUUGGGUUGUAAAGCUCUUUUAGUGAGGAAGAUAAUGACGGUACUCACAGAAGAAGUCCUGGCUAACUCCGUGCCAGCAGCCGCGGUAAUACGGAGAGGGCUAGCGUUAUUCGGAAUUAUUGGGCGUAAAGGGCGCGUAGGCUGAUUAAUAAGUUAAAAGUGAAAUCCCGAGGCUUAACCUUGGAAUUGCUUUUAAAACUAUUAAUCUAGAGAUUGAAAGAGGAUAGAGGAAUUCCUGAUGUAGAGGUAAAAUUCGUAAAUAUUAGGAGGAACACCAGUGGCGAAGGCGUCUAUCUGGUUCAAAUCUGACGCUGAAGCGCGAAGGCGUGGGGAGCAAACAGGAUUAGAUACCCUGGUAGUCCACGCUGUAAACGAUGAAUGUUAAAUAUGGGAAGUUUAC